RNAcentral lists this long non-coding RNA (282 nucleotides) under Elaeis guineensis (African oil palm). Its description in RNAcentral is "long non-coding RNA (EGUI_LNC027408)". Lineage: Eukaryota; Viridiplantae; Streptophyta; Magnoliopsida; Arecales; Arecaceae. The record is from RNAcentral.
CCUCAUUUCAUUGGCUCGAUGCAUGCUUGUGUUAUGGACCCUAGUUUUUCCUUACUAGUUAAUGGAUCCCCUACUACUUGGUUUAACCCAUCAAUAGACCUUAGACAAGGUUCCUCUUGUCCUAUUAUUUGUUCAUUCUUUGCUCUGACAUCCUUUCGAGAUUGUUGCAAUUAGCUGCGCAGCAUCAGUUAAUUAAUAAGGGCCUAUAGACCAGGGUGGCAGGGGCCUUCUAUCUCUCAUCUAUUAUUUGCUAAUGACCUCCUAUUGGUUGCCCGUGCGACC